UAUAUACUCCAUCUGCACGAAAAUAUUUGUCCUAAAAAUAAAUGUAUCUAGACUUAUUUUAGUUAUAGAUACAUCCAUUUUAUACAUUUCUAAAACAAGUAUUUUUGGACGGAGGGAGUAUAUA
This is a non-coding RNA of Hordeum vulgare subsp. vulgare (domesticated barley), 124 nucleotides long. NCBI's taxonomy places the organism in Eukaryota, Viridiplantae, Streptophyta, Magnoliopsida, Poales, Poaceae. The record is from Rfam.